This 439-nucleotide ribosomal RNA is filed under the name uncultured bacterium. RNAcentral describes it as "partial 16S ribosomal RNA". It matches the Rfam family "Bacterial small subunit ribosomal RNA", at positions 338 to 795 of the family's 1533-position model. The record is from RNAcentral.
CCUACGGGAGGCAGCAGUGGGGAAUAUUGGACAAUGGGGGAACCCUGAUCCAGCGACGCCGCGUGAGUGAAGAAGUAUUUCGGUAUGUAAAGCUCUAUCAGCAGGGAAGAAAAUGACGGUACCUGACUAAGAAGCCCCGGCUAACUACGUGCCAGCAGCCGUGGGAAUACGUAGGGGGCAAGCGUUAUCCGGAUUUAAUGGGUUGAAAGGGAACGUAGACGGUGCAGCAAUGAUGAUGGUAAAGGUCGGGGCCCAACCCCGGGACUGCAUUGGAAACUGGUGAACUGGAGUACAGGAGAGGUAAGCGGAAUUCCUAGUGAAGCGGUGAAAUGCGUAGAUAUUAGGAGGAACACCAGUGGCGAAGGCGGCUUACUGGACUGUAACUGACGUUGAGGCUCGAAAGCGUGGGGAGCAAACAGGAUUAGAUACCCUUGUAGUC